GAUGAAGAACGCAGCGAAAUGCGAUAAGUAGUGUGAAUUGCAGAAUUCAGUGAAUCAUCGAAUCUUUGAACGCACAUUGCGCCCCUUGGUAUCCCGAGGGGCAUGCCUGUUCGAGCGUCAUUUCAACCCUCAAGCACAGCUUGGUCUUGGGCUUCGCCGCUAACCCGGCGGGUCUUAAAAUCAGUGGCGGUGCCGUCGGGCCCUGAGCGCAGUAAUCUCUCUCGCUAUAGGGUCCCGGCGGAUGCUGGCCAGUAACCCCCAAUUUUCUAUGGUUGACCUCGGAUCAGGUAGGGAUACCCGCUGAACUUAAGCAUAUCAAUAAGCGGAGGA
RNAcentral lists this unclassified non-coding RNA (330 nucleotides) under soil metagenome. RNAcentral's name for it is "partial contains 5.8S ribosomal RNA, internal transcribed spacer 2, and large subunit ribosomal RNA". The stretch from base 1 to 120 matches the Rfam family "5.8S ribosomal RNA", at positions 35 to 154 of the family's 154-position model. The record is from RNAcentral.